CUGAUCUUGUUAUCUUCCGAUUUGGCGGUCGUUCUAUUUAUGCAAAAACGGUUCGCGAUAGCACUACGAAUUUUCGCCAAUUCACUCAUUGUUAUACUACGCUCAGAUUGCACCAA
This is a long non-coding RNA of Amblyraja radiata (thorny skate), 116 nucleotides long. RefSeq lists it as uncharacterized. Lineage: Eukaryota; Metazoa; Chordata; Chondrichthyes; Rajiformes; Rajidae. The record is from RefSeq and is a predicted model, not a curated record. The transcript has 3 exons.